UUUCCUCAGGGCGCCCCACAAAAAAAUUUCAUUUCACCGCCAUGUGCUAAAAUCCCUCCACAAAUCGGCAGUUACUUAAUCUCAAUUCCCACUAUCUUAAACUGAUAUUCCUCUCCAAUAGGCAAGCUCCGGUAGACUUCCCAACAUCAAAUUCCACAAACUCAGAUUACCAAAACUUCACACAACUCUCAAUUCAGCGAUGGUAGCUGCGAGUGCAACCCCAAUCAAGGGCACCGGAGGCAGGCAAGGCGGCGACAGGAAGAAAUCAAAUAUCGAAAUCCGUCAAGGUGACGCUCCAAUUUCGGGUUGUGCGCUUGCCCGUUUUCUCAAUUCAGAACUUUGAAAUUUUCUCUUCACUUUCGAUGAGAUUUUAUAUUUGUUUCCAUGGAACCACCAGUUGAAACAAUUCUGUGACGAGAGCCUAGGAUUCUCUAAAAUUUUCAGCCGAAAAUAUCCAAGGUUCUCUUUUGACCUUUUCUUACUGCUUAUUCAAUGAAUCUACAUCUGGAUUGUUGACUUGUUCAAGAUGCUAAGUUUUAUAUGUUUAGAUUUGUGUUCUGUAUUACAUGUUGCAAAACUAAAUGGAGGUUCUAUAAAUAUUUGAACACUAGCUGUCUCAAAAUUUCAAUUUUAAAUAUUGAAGAAAGUUUCUGAUUUAG
Molecule: long non-coding RNA, 659 nt
Filed under: Salvia miltiorrhiza (redroot sage)
Lineage: Eukaryota; Viridiplantae; Streptophyta; Magnoliopsida; Lamiales; Lamiaceae
Description: long non-coding RNA (SMIL_LNC001448)
Source: RNAcentral